CCUACGGGAGGCAGCAGUGGGGAAUAUUGCGCAAUGGACGAAAGCCUGACGCAGCGACGCCGCGUGAGGGAUGAAGGUCUUCGGAUCGUAAACCUCUGUCAGCAGGGAAGAACGGUCACUGUGCUAAUCAGCAGUGAAUUGACGGUACCUGCAAAGGAAGCACCGGCUAACUCCGUGCCAGCAGCCGCGGUAAUACGGAGGGUGCGAGCGUUAAUCGGAAUUACUGGGCGUAAAGCGCUCGUAGGCGGUAUGUCAAGGCAAGGGUGAAAUCCCCGCGCUCAACGUGGGAACUGCCUUUGAAACUGGCAAACUGGAGUGUGUGAGAGGAUAGUGGAAUUCCAGGUGUAGGAGUGAAAUCCGUAGAUAUCACGAGGAACCCCGAUUGCGAAGGCAGCCUGCCGGGGUGCGACUGACGCUGAGGCUCGAAGGUGCGGGUAUCAAACAGGAUUAGAUACCCGGGUAGUC
RNAcentral lists this ribosomal RNA (465 nucleotides) under uncultured bacterium. RNAcentral's name for it is "partial 16S ribosomal RNA". It matches the Rfam family "Bacterial small subunit ribosomal RNA", at positions 338 to 795 of the family's 1533-position model. The record is from RNAcentral.